This 350-nucleotide ribosomal RNA is filed under the name uncultured eukaryote. RNAcentral describes it as "SSU rRNA". It matches the Rfam family "Eukaryotic small subunit ribosomal RNA", at positions 567 to 958 of the family's 1831-position model. The record is from RNAcentral.
CCAGCAGCUGCGGUAAUUCCAGCUCCAAUAGCGUAUAUUAAAGUUGUUGCAGUUAAAACGCUCGUAGUCUGAUGUAAUGGGGAUUGGAGUGGGGAGCAGCGAUGUUCUUUGCUUUGGUGCUCAUCAAUGGGACAGCAAUGUCCCGGUUUACUUUGAGGAAAUUAGAGUGUUCAAAGCAGGCGAUUGCUUGAAUACUGCAGCAUGGAAUAAUGGAAUAGGACUCGCGUCUUAUUUUGUUGGUUUGGAGAUGUGAGUAAUGAUGAAUAGGGACAGUUGGGGGCAUUGGUAUUCAGUAGUCAGAGGUGAAAUUCUUGGAUUUACUGAAGACUAACUAGUGCGAAAGCAUUUGC